CCUACGGGUGGCUGCAGUAGGGAAUAUUGCUCAAUGGGGGAAACCCUGAAGCAGCAACGCCGCGUGGAGGAUGAAGGUUUUCGGAUUGUAAACUCCUUUUGUUAGAGAAGAUAAUGACGGUAUCUAACGAAUAAGCACCGGCUAACUCCGUGCCAGCAGCCGCGGUAAUACGGAGGAUGCGAGCGUUAUCCGGAUUUAUUGGGUUUAAAGGGUGCGUAGGCGGUCCGGAAAGUCAGCGGUAAAAGCCCGGGGCUCAACCCCGGCGAGCCGUUGAAACUGUCGGACUAGAGACGGCGAGAAGUACGCGGAAUGCGCGGUGUAGCGGUGAAAUGCAUAGAUAUCGCGCAGAACUCCGAUUGCGAAGGCAGCGUACCGGCGCCGGACUGACGCUGAGGCACGAAAGCGUGGGUAUCGAACAGGAUUAGAUACCCUUGUAGUC
Molecule: ribosomal RNA, 439 nt
Filed under: uncultured bacterium
Lineage: Bacteria
Description: partial 16S ribosomal RNA
Rfam family: Bacterial small subunit ribosomal RNA
Source: RNAcentral